AACGCGAAGAACCUUACCUACCCUUGACAUCCUGCGAAUCUUGAUGAGAAUUAGGAGUGCCGAAAGGAACGCAGAGACAGGUGCUGCAUGGCUGUCGUCAGCUCGUGUUGUGAGAUGUUGGGUUAAGUCCCGUAACGAGCGCAACCCUUGUCCUUAGUUGCCAUCAUUUAGUUGGGGACUCUAAGGAGACUGCCGGUGAUGAACCGGAGGAAGGCGGGGACGACGUCAAGUCAUCAUGGCCUUUAUGGGUAGGGCUACACACGUGCUACAAUGGGGCGUACAAAGGGUAGCGAACUCGCGAGAGGGAGCCAAUCUCACUAAAACGCCUCGUAGUCCAGAUUGGAGUCUGCAACUCGACUCCAUGAAGUUGGAAUCGCUAGUAAUCGCGAAUCAGCAACGUCGCGGUGAAUACGUUCCCGGGCCUUGUACACACCGAUAGC
This 440-nucleotide ribosomal RNA is filed under the name uncultured bacterium. Its description in RNAcentral is "bacterial SSU rRNA". It matches the Rfam family "Bacterial small subunit ribosomal RNA", at positions 958 to 1397 of the family's 1533-position model. The record is from RNAcentral.